Sparus aurata (gilthead seabream) is the source of this 4954-nucleotide long non-coding RNA. The record is from Ensembl. NCBI's taxonomy places the organism in Eukaryota, Metazoa, Chordata, Actinopteri, Spariformes, Sparidae.
AUUAUAAAGGGCAUUCUCCGCGGCUGAAUUGAUUUUGAUUUCUCUGACUUCCUGCUGAACGGAAACGCCGACUGGUUUUCCCAGAAAGAGGUCGGCAGCCAUGAGUCCACUCGUUUUUUUAUCAAUUUUAUAAAAAAACAGCUUAAAUGAUGAAACAAAAACAAAUAAGAGGUUGUCAGCUUCAAUAUUAUUUGAGUGGACUGUAGCUACGAAUACUGUGAAGAUUCUCUGAUGGAUCACAGCUUUAAUACAAGGAUGCUGUGUGGAAGUCAGUGUAACACAAGCCUGGAAUAGGCUCUGGUUUCUUUACUGACCAUCCCCUUUCAUUCACUUCAGUGUGGACAUGAACACACAGUGACCACGAACGCAACACAGAAACCUGCAUUAAAGUCAAGUCAGAGUUCUCGUCUCUAAGAGCCAGUCAGUGUGAGAUCUGAGUCCCCUCCCCGCUACAGCCCUCCCUCCCCCUCCCAGAUACUGAGCUUUUUGUUCGCCAUCUAAUGUUUUCAUUAGGAAACUGGGCGCAACCAAGUCAUCGAGGGAAGGAUUAGAGAGCGAGGGAGCGAGCGCAGGGCAGAGAGGCAGAGAGGAAGAGAGGAGGAGAGGAAGAGGUGUGGAGGAGAAGAAAUCAGUUUGUUUCCCUGUCUGGUUCUGAAUUAGAGGAGAUUUGGAGGCUCUCUCUUUCUCUCACUCUGUCCUGUUCUCACCCUUUGUUUCCGUCGUCUGCGUCACCAGCUGCCCACCAGGUUUCGCCAUGAACCGCCCCUUCACCUCCUCGGUUGGACUCAUCUUGCUUCUGAUUGGCUACACUGCGGCAGGACCUGAACCUGACCUGCAGCCUCGAGCAGUGCGUUCAAGUGCCUGUCAAGAGCACACGGACCUCCACGGGCGCCUGGAUGCAGUGGAGAAGAAAGUGGAGGACACGGUUGAGAAUCUGGAGGCGGAGCUGACUGCUCUUCUGGAUGCCAUUGAGGCCCCGAAGUGGCGCCCCCUGUUGGACAGUAGAGGAAGGACAACUGUGGAUAUUCUGGAAGACCCGGGGCCGAGGGGCCGGUCGUAAACCAACCAGACAUUCAUGGAGGGGUGGAUUCAGGGGGGAUCUUAAACUUGGACAUUGAUGGCUCUGUUUCAAUGACUUCAAUACCAUUGUUUUUUAAACUGUGUGUAUGCAUAUACUGUAUCUGUAUAUCAAAAUGCUGUUUUAAUCUUAAAAGAGGAGAAAUAAGGACAAAGCUUGUGUGUAUUAUCUGCUCUUACUAAUCCUGUGACAGCCUCAGUCAUAGAGUCUUCCUCCUGCAGUCAAUAGUGGCACUGCUCAUGUAUACAAUGCUUUUUAAAGAGAGUAAUUCACUUUGGACAUCCCUGCUGUGUUAGCUCAUACCCCUGCGCUUCAUCGCCCUCUACUGUCUACCCUUAAGGCUUUUAUCUGAACGGAGAAGACAAAAAAAAAAAACGGUGAGACAACCAAAAUUACUGGAAGGAGAUUUAUUUCUUUAUCAAAGCAAGUUAAAGCAGCAUUUUUAUUUUUUAUUUUUUUAAACACACGGAGCAGUUUUCAGUUGGUACGGUAACAAGGCUUUUUCACCGACUCCCCAUUAAAAAUCCUGUAGCACAGAAACAUUAUGCAAAAUAGGAUCACAAGGAGGAAAAAGAGUGGCACAAAUCACAUGUUCUUCUUCUUCUUCUUCUUGAUUAGUUUUCUCGACAGGGCACUGAGUUUCAAACUGUAAUCCACAGAGUUAAGACAUCUACAGAAUGGAACACCUCGAGAGAAUCCGUCAGAAAAAACGGCUGAAUAGGAGACAUGCUGUCGCUGGUCAAAAACUAGCACAAAGCCUUUUUUUUCUUUUUUUUUUAAACACCUAACAGCAUCCAGAACAUUAACACAUAAAGGGGGACAUGUCAGGAGGGUUUGCAAGCACAGUCCAAUUAGGAAUGAUCACUGAUAUAUCGAGGAACAACUCCCAAACUGUGGGUUGGUAUUGUAACUUUGAGAAAAGCUUCACUUAAAUUAACCGUCAAAAUAAUUCUUUAUCCAUUUACAAAUGAUUAACAGAAAGACACAUCCACCUCACGCCUGUGUUGACUCGGAUGAUCUGUAGGCUGCUUUAAUGAGUCUUAGAAAUAACUGAGCCUUCUUUGCCACGAAUGGAGACAUUCAGUGUUUUUAAUAAUGCAGUAAAUUCUGUGCUGGGGUGAAGUGAAAACCUGCCCCAGUUCCAAAUAUUCUUCCUUUGCCGCACAGACGAUAAUGCAACAUUUAAAUCCCACAGAAGGAGCAUCACACACGACUGCUGACCUCAUUCCACUCAUCCAGCAAGGGUACGAGCCUGUAUACUUGACCAUUAAGCAUUAAGACAAUCUAUGGGAUGCCAAAAGGUACUGCAUAUCAUCUAAAAAUAUCAUGCCGUCCAUAUAACACUGGAAUUAUACGAUUUUUGUACAGUUUAAAGUUCACGAAACUCACUGUCCAGAAACAUUUACGCAGGCCAGUUAUACUCUGAUUUGGACUGUGUCUAUAAUCAGGUGAGCACUGAGGUAUGCUAAUUACCAAAAGCUUGUACAUGCACGAAACAGCCAGUAAGGCUCAAGCUCCAGGCUUUGGCAAAAACAAGCUUAUACUGUAAAGGUACAUGCAAAAAGAAGCACAGGGCUCAAGACUAGUAACUUCAUCACAUAUUUUGGCGGACUUGGAGGAUUGCCACUUUAUAUCCCUUUAAAGAAGCUUCUUAAUCUAAUCAUAAUGUAUGGUGUUUAAAGAAAUGGUUAAACAUUUUGGGAAACGCACUUACUAGCUUUAUUUCUGAGUGUGAGAUGAGAAGAUUGACACUGCACUCAUGUCUGUGUGUUAAGUAUGAAGCCGCAGCCAAGAGGCGGUUAGCCUAGCUUAGCAUGAAGGCUGUGAGACUCCGGAGGGACUCUGCUACAAGCUACAAGACGAGGAUCGGACGAUGGACCACAGAGGCAGCACCAUUUGCAGUAACAGAUGCUACCUCCAUCUCAUGUGACCAGUGGUAUUACGCAACAGGACGAGGCAGGGCUAGCGGGCAUCGUUCCUUCGCAUUCUGUUGAUAACAUUAGUUCAUUUUUUAAAUGUUUUAAAUUAAAAUUCAGGCCAGAUCUUGCACAUUACACCUUUAACUCAAGCUCAAAUAUAUUAAUAAGUGAGCUUUAGGUGGACUUGGUAAGUUGAUUUCUCACCUUGGACAGAAGCUUUAUAUUAAGCUAAUUGCCUCGCAGCUCCGGCUCCGUGUUUAACUCACAGACACAAGGGUGCAAUAAAUCUUCUCCUUUAAUUCUUGAAAAGAAAGCUAGUAGGUGUAUUUCCCAAACUGCCUGACUAUAACUUUAAGUUUCCCCCCCUUACCUGAAAUAGAUACUUUAUACAUUAUCACAAUAUGAUUGUAUAAAUGAUAGUAUUUUCACUUGCAGAAGGAACACUGACUUUAUGUUAUACUGGGAAAAAGAGACAUACAUUCACACACUCAAAGUUCCUUAGAAAUGGUUAUGCAAAUGGUAGAAAAGCUUUGGCAUAUUUUGCCUACAAGUUGUGCCUGCACACUUGGAAAGAAGAGCAGAGCGAAGCAGUGUGAAGCUUCACGCGGCUCUUCCUUUAGUUUAUACGUCGACUUUGCAGUCCCACAUAAAACUGUGGUGAGUUUAAUAACCUAUACUGUAUGCUAUUUACAUGGGUUUCAUUUUAUUAGGCCUUAGGGUUUUAAGGUGGACCUCUGCUACAUGUUCUCAGGUGUUCAGACUGAGAUUAAUGGCACCACCUUAAAGGUAACACUAUCACUACGACAGUAAUAGACUAGCUCAUCUGUACGAGUUGAAGUACCAGCAGGGCACAGCUACACAUUUAAGUACAGCCCAGAAACAAGCUCUACAGGGAGAUGAUCGUUAUACUAACCAAGCACUUAAAGAGAUGAUGACAUCUAGUGAAGCAAACAGAGCUUUCUAAUAGAUUCUUAAAGGAUGGGAUUGUUGGUGAUUGGUAUUCAAUCCCCAGAGCAGAGUUUCCGUAUGCUCUUUGAGCAUGGUGCAGGGCUAAAAUACUAAAUCUUGGUAACCAUUACAGACACAGUGACAAGUAAAACCGCUCAUUCUGAUUGCUGCACUGACUCCCCGUCAAUGACAGUACCUUAUCGUCCUUUAAAAAAAAAAAAAGCUUGCAAAAGUAACAGUUUGCUUCAAACUAGCAUUUUAAACUAUAACGCAUCCAUGGCUACGAUGUGAUUAACGAAUACUGAUUAUCAUCAACAGGCACCACUUUAAACAGGUUCACAACAUGAAACCAGCCACAUGUUCUUGGCUGACUGCAAAUUAACACUUACUGUAAAUGUGUCUCGGGAAGGUGUUGCAACAGGAGGAAGGUGCUCCGGGGGAAAUGGAGAACGGUUGCUCUGAAUUAGGGCAAACCUAACAUGAAACAGGGCCGAGGGGAAGAGUGAGCUGAAGACACAGGCAAUAAUAUAAAGUGAGUGCCUGCGUGUGCUGAAUAAUUCAGUCGUCCCCAUCAGAUUUGGAGCAGGAAGGCGGAGAGGGCGUCUCCACCGAAAACCAUCGACCCCUCCAAAAAACUGCCGACUGCUAUUGCUCGGGAUGUCGUCAUGCUCGCGGAGCUUUCUGCUUGUGAACAACACCUCCUAGUAAGUGAUACCUUAUUUGUCAUGCUAUACUGUAACAUUGCAUAGAAGUUAGAGCUUACUCUAGGGGGUACAGUAGGCGGGGACUCUCUGGAAAUCUGCUUCAUUCAUGCCUUACCGGAAGGAUGCUACAGAACAAAAAAAAUAAAAAAAAUAAGGAGGGGGGAAUGGUGGGAGCCGUGUUGGGUCCUGCUGUGCGUCAAGUCGGACCUGCUGUGCGUUUUCCUCCGCUCCUGGCUACAACAGAGGAGGGAGGUGAGAACGUAUCUAUUGGCAUGGCAGCAGCAGCCAGAGAGACCUGUGACAGU